RNAcentral lists this long non-coding RNA (230 nucleotides) under Elaeis guineensis (African oil palm). RNAcentral's name for it is "long non-coding RNA (EGUI_LNC048472)". The record is from RNAcentral. Lineage: Eukaryota; Viridiplantae; Streptophyta; Magnoliopsida; Arecales; Arecaceae.
UUUUCUUUUUUUUCUUCAUAUUAUCAACAUAAAGUACAUUAUCAUUAAGUGAUAGGAAUAGAAGAUCAUUAUCAACAAAAGUAUUUUCAUAAAAUUCGUUAGAAAAAUAAAUAGAACAACCAUUGUUCUUAACUUUUAUUUUUAAAUCUUGUUCUAGUAACAAGGGUACAGAAAUAAUAUUUCUAACAACUUUAGGAAUGUAAUAACAUGUCUUCAGUUCUAAAACUUAG